Ipomoea triloba (trilobed morning glory) is the source of this 2319-nucleotide RNA transcript. It is a transcript of the gene named O-fucosyltransferase 30, with no coding region annotated. The record is from RefSeq and is a predicted model, not a curated record. The transcript is spliced from 5 exons. NCBI's taxonomy places the organism in Eukaryota, Viridiplantae, Streptophyta, Magnoliopsida, Solanales, Convolvulaceae.
AGGAAAAAAGGGGAAAAUCUGUUGCAGAAUGAUUUGUAGCAAUCUUCGCCAUAGCUGAGAGAGGCAGAAAUGGAAGCCGCGAAUUUUAGGGGAACCCAUAGAUGGAAGAAGAGAAGUUCGGUUCAGUCUCCAAGAUCUGCACUUCUCACUCUUCUCAUCUUCUCCUCUUUCAUCAUCCUCUUCUUCUACUUCAGACGCUUCGUUUCCCCCACUCAACUUCCACUUUCCCGGAAUUCUCCGUCGUUCCUUCUCCAACGAUGCGGCUCCUCCUCCGCAGGGAACUUCAUCUGGUACGCGCCUCACAGUGGCUUCAGCAAUCAGCUCUCCGAGUUCAAGAACGCGCUUCUAAUGGCUUCCAUUUUGAAUCGAACCCUCGUUGUGCCUCCCAUUCUCGAUCACCACGCCGUUGCUCUCGGUAGCUGUCCCAAAUUUAGGGUUUUAAGCCCCCCUGAUUUGAGAUUCGCGGUUUGGAAUCAUAGUAUUGAGCUCUUGCGUGAUUGCAGAUAUGUUUCUAUGGCAGAUAUUAUUGACCUUUCAGCUAUAGUGUCUGCUUCAGCUGUCAGUGUUGUGGAUUUUAGAGUGUUUGUGUCUGAAUGGUGUGGUGUGAAUCUGGAUCAUUUUUGCACUACAAACCAAAAUGCUCAAUCUUUGAUGUUACAAAGGCUAAAUGAAUGUGGGUCUUUGCUGUCUGGGAAAAAUGGUAAUUUAAAUAGUUGUUUAUAUGCUUUAGAGGAGGAUUGCAGGACAACAGUUUGGACAUACCAAAAAGAUGGCGGAGAUGGUGCUUUAGACUCAUUUCAACCUGAUGAGGAACUCAAGAAGAAGAAGAGAAUUGCCUUUGUUAGGAGAAGAAGAGACGUAUAUAAGACCCUUGGCCCGGGCUCUGCUGUUGAAUCUGCCAAAGUUCUUGCAUUUGGAAGCCUUUUCACCUCCCCAUAUAAGGGAUCAGAGUCACACAUUGAUAUCCAUGAAGCUCCUAAUGAUAAAAGGAUAGCUUCCUUCAUCAAGAGGAUUGAGUUCCUUCCCUUUGUACCAGAAAUUCUUGAUGCUGGAAAGAAUUUCGUUCUUAAAACAAUUAAGGCUCCUUUUCUUUGUGCACAGCUUAGACUAUUGGACGGGCAGUUUAAGAACCACUGGAAAGCUACUUUUCAAGAAUUGAAGCAUAAGUUAGAAUCUUUGAAACAAACUGGACCUAACCCUAUUCAUAUGUUUCUAAUGACUGACCUUCCCAUGUCUAAUUGGUCUGGGAGCUACUUGGGUGAUAUUACAAAAGAUUCAGGUAUCAAACUGUUUGUCCUUAAAGAAGAUGAUGAGCUGGUUAGAGAAACUGCUAGGAAUGUUGUGAAGGCAGGAAAUGGGAUGAAGGUUGGGUCUGAUUCAAAGUAUUCCGUCAAAAUUCAGGAAAAUCAGCAUGCUCAAGCAUUGCCUGAUGUGCUGCUAUACAUAGAGGAAACUGUAUGUAGCUGUGCUUCUCUUGGUUUUGUGGGAACUAGUGGUUCAACUAUUGCGGAGAGUAUAGAGUUGAUGAGGAAGUUUAAUAUAUGUAAUAGCUGAAAUCUUUUUCAGGAUGCAUGAUUUUGCUGCUUUACAGCUACUACUAUUCAAGAAAUGAAGGAUCUUCUGGUAGGGUAAGGAAUAUAUACAAACCUGUUAGAUAAAUAUUGCCUUAUUUGGCUGAAAGUAGUCUAAAGUUGUUUGAAGAGCGCCGUGGAAUUAAGCAGGAGAAUGUGAUUUGAUAUGGCCAAUAUCCCCACACUACAUUUGGCAUCUCAUUACGGAUGUUGAGGGCUGUUGUUCUUCAUGGUGCUAUACCUCUGGAAUACGAGUUCUAUAUCCUGUCAAGAUGAUGCUUUGGUUUGAUAUUUUCAAUAAUAUAGACAAAAAUACAAGAAGUCGACAGCCCAGUUUUAAUUAUCCAUCGUAAUGACAAUGUAGUAUCCAGUCAUAUGAUCUCAGUUCUUGAGUCGAUUCUUCACUGUCAAGAAGAAGACAUGUGCGGGUUAAUAAUUUGGAUCAAGGUUGCUGAAGAAGAAAGCGAAGGUUGUGAAAACAUCUUGAUUCAUUAGUCAUCUCAGUUGUAUGCCCCUCCAACUGCUAAAUCGAUUGGAAGACAUUAUAAGCAAAGUUUGAGCUUUGUAUGAAUGAUUUAGUGCAUUGGUUCCCAUUAUCCUUCUUGAUCAAGUGUACCAAUAAAUGUAGGUAAUAUGUUGUAUGAUGUGUCCCAAUCCCCAAAAAUCUUUCUAGUUGUCUUUAACUUUGGAACUUUGUAUACCAUAUCUUUUAAUAUGAAACAUCAAAAGAGAAUGUCUCUUGCAAUUG